CACUCCUGCGGGAGGCAGCAGUGGGGAAUUUUGGACAAUGGGCGAAAGCCUGAUCCAGCAAUGCCGCGUGUGUGAAGAAGGCCUUCGGGUUGUAAAGCACUUUUGUCCGGAAAGAAAUCCUUGGCUCUAAUACAGUCGGGGGAUGACGGUACCGGAAGAAUAAGCACCGGCUAACUACGUGCCAGCAGCCGCGGUAAUACGUAGGGUGCGAGCGUUAAUCGGAAUUACUGGGCGUAAAGCGUGCGCAGGCGGUUUGCUAAGACCGAUGUGAAAUCCCCGGGCUCAACCUGGGAACUGCAUUGGUGACUGGCAGGCUAGAGUAUGGCAGAGGGGGGUAGAAUUCCACGUGUAGCAGUGAAAUGCGUAGAGAUGUGGAGGAAUACCGAUGGCGAAGGCAGCCCCCUGGGCCAAUACUGACGCUCAUGCACGAAAGCGUGGGGAGCAAACAGGAUUAGAAACCCCUGUAGUCCC
RNAcentral lists this ribosomal RNA (471 nucleotides) under uncultured organism. RNAcentral describes it as "partial 16S ribosomal RNA". It matches the Rfam family "Bacterial small subunit ribosomal RNA", at positions 334 to 797 of the family's 1533-position model. The record is from RNAcentral.